CACAUUGAAAGAAGCUGUGGGAAACCAGGACAAGCAGCCGCACAUUCCAUGUGUCAAAUUUUCCUCUCCUUUGGAUAUGAGAUAGAGAAGAAAAAAGUGUCAAAAAUUAUCUCACUGGAGAAAUGCUGUGCUUGCUGUUCAUUUUCACGUGGCAAUGCCAUAAAAGGAAUAACAUGAACGUGCUUUUGAAAUGAAAAAGGAGGACUAAGGUUCCUGGCACAAAGCUUCUAAAACUCUUGGACUUCCCAAGUGACAGAAGUGUCUUUGCUACUCAUGAGCCCCGUGGAUCACACCUGAAUUUAUGCUAUGAGAUGACUCAAGGUCAGCCUCUAAAUAGCUUCAGCAUGAGGGCUGGCCACCAGAAAGACCAACUACAAUUUUAGAGAGUUGGGACUUUGAGCCAGUCUGACCUCUAGGAAGAGGAGAAGGGUUGGAGAUUGAGUUCAAUCACAUGGCCAAUGAUUUACACAAUCAUGCCUAUGUAAUGAAACCCCAAAAACCCUCUGGACCCUGAAACUCAGUGGAGCCUCCUGGUAGAUGAAUACAUCAAUGUGCCAGGUGGAUCACCUGUCCUGAUUCCAUGGGAAGAGGGCAUGGAAGCUCUGCAUUCAGAACCCUCCCAGACCUUGGCCUUUGUGUCUCUUCAUUUGACUCAUCCUGAUCUGUAUACUUUGCAAUAAGAUUGUAAUCAUAAGUAUAGCACUUUCCUGAGGUCUGUGAUUCAGUCUAGCAAGUUAUCAAGCUUGAGAGAUUUGUGGGAACCCCUAAAUUUAGAGCUAGCUAGUCAGAGGUGCAAGUGGCCUGGGGACCCACGAUGUCUGGCUGGCAUUGAGGUGAGGGUAGUCUUGUGAAAGACUGAGCCCUUAACUUGUGGAGUCUGUGCUAAUUCCAGAAAGUUAGUGCCAGAAUUAAAUUGCAGUCUACCAGUCACUUCCAGAAUAAUCUCUAAUACAGCCCCAGAGGAUCAAGAAGAAGAACCUCAAGUCAUGAUGUUCCAGUUCCAGCACCUUCUGAGACUUGGCUCUAUUUCUUGCUCUUGGGUUUCACGUGAUCUGCAGGUGUUUUUCUAAUACAUUGAAAAUUUUACUUGAACUGGUUGGAGGGGGCUACUGUUUCAAUAAUCUCUUACAAAGAGUUAAAAUAGAACUUUGAAGGAAUGGGAUGUGAUGUAUGAAGCUGCUAUUUGCUAAUUUUUCUUAAACGUCAUAUAAAUACUGUAAUUAACAUUUUCCUUUUGUUUACAUCUGUGAGAAAUUAGUUCCCACAACAAAACCCCCCAAGUGGAGAUUUUUGAGGCAAGCAUGAUUUUACUAUUCUCUGAAAUUGUGCAACUUCAGUCUGCCAUGGCAGGUAGACUUUAUAGGUCUCUAGUUUUUCUCCAAUUUAGUUUCUUGACUUUGAAGUUUUAGUGGCUCCUUGUCUUAAGUCCAAAUUGUCAUAAACUCUUAGAAUAUGAAUGCAGGAAUGGACCCGAGGGACCAUCUGGUUGCCUCCUUUUAUUAUCACAAACAAAGACUCCAAGGAGCAGAGAAGUGAAACGUCUGGCUCAAGAUCAUAUUACUUAUUCCUGGCAGAGUCCAGAUUUGAAUAAUUUCCUAUUUUCUAAUACAAUAAGUUUAUUCUCGCUUUUCAGUGAUAAACCUGUUUACUAAGGAUUUAGUUAUUAUUUUUCCACUGCUAUAAAUGAAUGUGAGUUUCUGUUACAAAUUUUAAAAAAAUGGAUGUGGCCAUGAGUUAACACAAAAUCUUAUCAGGGAAGCUGCUUCCCACGUGAGGCUGCCUCAUCCACGUCUGUUUUUGGAGCCUGGUGCUCUGGUAAGUCUUAACUGGCUCAAAUAAAUGAACCCGUAAUA
RNAcentral lists this long non-coding RNA (1853 nucleotides) under Equus asinus (donkey). Its description in RNAcentral is "lncRNA (ENSEASG00005032221.1)". The record is from RNAcentral. Lineage: Eukaryota; Metazoa; Chordata; Mammalia; Perissodactyla; Equidae.